RNAcentral lists this small RNA (715 nucleotides) under Pongo abelii (Sumatran orangutan). Its description in RNAcentral is "processed transcript". Lineage: Eukaryota; Metazoa; Chordata; Mammalia; Primates; Hominidae. The record is from RNAcentral.
GGUCUCAAAAGGUCUCCCAGUCUCUCCAGAACUUGAUUUGGGUCCCUGUUCCUGCUCUGGAUGCCUAGCCCUCCAGCAGGAGUUAUAAGUUCUUGGUAGAAAGCCUUAACUUCACUGAAGAAAAUUUAGAAAUUAUGGAUGAGUACCCCCAAAUUUAAAAUCAUACAAAAACCACAGAGCUCCUGAUCCUGGCCCAUCAUUGCUUCACCCUGACGUGCCACAUGGAGGGCAUCAUCCGAGUCCUACAGGCCGCCCAGAUGCUCACAGAUAACCACCUGGCCCCCAGUGAGGAGUAUGGGCUGGUGGUACGGCUCCUCACUGGCAUUGGAAGGUACAACGAGAUGACAUACAUAUUUGAUUUGCUGCAUAAAAAGCACUACUUUGAAGUGCUAAUGAGGAAGAAGUUGGAUCCGAGUGGUACCCUGAAAACAGCCCUGCUGGACUACAUCAAACGCUGCCGUCCUGGAGACAGUGAGAAGCACAAUAUGAUUGCCCUGUGCUUCAGCAUGUGCCGGGAGAUUGGCGAGAACCACGAGGCAGCUGCCCGCAUCCAACUGAAAUUGAUUGAGUCUCAGCCCUGGGAGGACAGCCUCAAGGAUGGGCACCAGCUGAAGCAACUGCUGCUGAAGGCCCUGACUCUGAUGUUGGAUGCAGCAGAGAGUUACGCCAAGGACUCCUGUGUGCGACAGGCCCAGCACUGUCAGCGGCUCACCAA